This 448-nucleotide ribosomal RNA is filed under the name uncultured bacterium. RNAcentral's name for it is "SSU rRNA". It matches the Rfam family "Bacterial small subunit ribosomal RNA", at positions 26 to 518 of the family's 1533-position model. The record is from RNAcentral.
AGGACGAACGCUGGCGGCAGGCCUAACACAUGCAAGUCGAACGCUCGUAGCAAUACGGGAGUGGCAGACGGGUGAGUAACGCGUGGGAACGUACCUUUCGGUUCGGAAUAACCCGGGGAAACUCGGGCUAAUACCGGAUACGUCCGCAAGGAGAAAGAUUUAUCGCCGAAAGAUCGGCCCGCGUCGGAUUAGCUAGUUGGUGAGGUAACGGCCCACCAAGGCGACGAUCCGUAGCUGGUCUGAGAGGAUGAUCAGCCACACUGGGACUGAGACACGGCCCAGACUCCUACGGGAGGCAGCAGUGGGGAAUAUUGGACAAUGGGCGAAAGCCUGAUCCAGCCAUGCCGCGUGAGUGAAGAAGGCCUUAGGGUUGUAAAGCUCUUUCAGCGGGGAAGAUAAUGACGGUACCCGCAGAAGAAGUCCCGGCUAACUUCGUGCCAGCAGCCGC